AUGAACGCUGGCGGCGUGCCUAAUACCUGCAAGUCGAGCGAACGGACGAGAAGCUUGCUUCUCUGAUGUUAGCGGCGGACGGGUGAGUAACACGUGGAUAACCUACCUAUAAGACUGGGAUAACUUCGGGAAACCGGAGCUAAUACCGGAUAAUAUUUUGAACCGCAUGGUUCAAAAGUGAAAGACGGUCUUGCUGUCACUUAUAGAUGGAUCCGCGCUGCAUUAGCUAGUUGGUAAGGUAACGGCUUACCAAGGCAACGAUGCAUAGCCGACCUGAGAGGGUGAUCGGCCACACUGGAACUGAGACACGGUCCAGACUCCUACGGGAGGCAGCAGUAGGGAAUCUUCCGCAAUGGGCGAAAGCCUGACGGAGCAACGCCGCGUGAGUGAUGAAGGCCUUCGGAUCGUAAAACUCUGUUAUUAGGGAAGAACAUAUGUGUAAGUAACUGUGCACAUCUUGACGGUACCUAAUCAGAAAGCCACGGCUAACUACGUG
Molecule: ribosomal RNA, 496 nt
Filed under: uncultured bacterium
Lineage: Bacteria
Description: partial 16S ribosomal RNA
Rfam family: Bacterial small subunit ribosomal RNA
Source: RNAcentral